CACCCGGUAGCACACGGUGUGCAUCUGCAGUACCUAGCCAAGUGAGUUCCGUGGUGCAGAAGGUCCCCGUUCGAUCCGGGGCCGGGUGA
Mycena vulgaris is the source of this 89-nucleotide non-coding RNA. NCBI's taxonomy places the organism in Eukaryota, Fungi, Basidiomycota, Agaricomycetes, Agaricales, Mycenaceae. The record is from the annotation of a GenBank genome assembly.